Molecule: ribosomal RNA, 429 nt
Filed under: Chloroflexota bacterium
Lineage: Bacteria; Bacillati; Chloroflexota
Description: Chloroflexi bacterium partial 16S ribosomal RNA
Rfam family: Bacterial small subunit ribosomal RNA
Source: RNAcentral
UAGGGAAUCUUCGGCAAUGGACGAAAGUCUGACCGAGCAACGCCGCGUGAGUGAAGAAGGUUUUCGGAUCGUAAAACUCUGUUGUUAGAGAAGAACAAGGACGUUAGUAACUGAACGUCCCCUGACGGUAUCUAACCAGAAAGCCACGGCUAACUACGUGCCAGCAGCCGCGGUAAUACGUAGGUGGCAAGCGUUGUCCGGAUUUAUUGGGCGUAAAGCGAGAGCAGGCGGUUUCUUAAGUCUGAUGUGAAAGCCCCCGGCUCAACCGGGGAGGGUCAUUGGAAACUGGGAGACUUGAGUGCAGAAGAGGAGAGUGGAAUUCCAUGUGUAGCGGUGAAAUGCGUAGAUAUAUGGAGGAACACCAGUGGCGAAGGCGGCUGUCUGGUCUGUAACUGACGCUGAGGCUCGAAAGCGUGGGGAGCAAACAGG